UUUUUGCAGGUUCUAAGCAGAAGACUACACAGCCUACUAGGGUGGUUUUUAAUUGUGGAACCUUACUAAUUACUUGCUUGGCUUGUUACUAAAUUCUUGACAUUUAAAGAAUUGAAAGGAAUGAUGAAUGAUGGAUAAAUGAAUUGAAGUGAUGGACUCUGACUUGCAGAGUAGUAAGAUGUGAAAGGAAUGCACUUCUGUUUAAGGACCCUGACCUUGACUCACUCACUGUUCAAGAGAAGAAAACAA
Myotis brandtii (Brandt's bat) is the source of this 249-nucleotide long non-coding RNA. RefSeq lists it as uncharacterized. Lineage: Eukaryota; Metazoa; Chordata; Mammalia; Chiroptera; Vespertilionidae. The record is from RefSeq and is a predicted model, not a curated record. The transcript has 3 exons.